UCCCUGGUAGUAUAUCGGUUAGUACACGCGCCUGUCACUCUGAACGGUGCGCGCGAAAGCGGGGUUCGACUCCCCGCCAGGGAG
Molecule: non-coding RNA, 84 nt
Organism: Steccherinum ochraceum
Lineage: Eukaryota; Fungi; Basidiomycota; Agaricomycetes; Polyporales; Steccherinaceae
Source: the annotation of a GenBank genome assembly